UUUUUUUUUUGCCACGUGCAACGAAACUACACCGUACGUCUCCUUAUUGUACCGGGCUUCCUUUUGACUAUUGCCUCUCUCGCUGAACCCCCAAACCCUAAUCCCUAGUUUUCUCAUCAGUCGCGAAUCUGGUUGUCCUCUGCGCCACCUUCCAUCCUCUCCAAGAAGAAUGAGUCGCUCAAGUAGAACUCUUUACGUUGGUAACCUUCCUGGUGACAUUCGCGAGCGUGAAGUGGAAGAUUUGUUUUACAAGUAUGGACGAAUAGCGCAUAUUGAUUUGAAAGUUCCGCCUAGGCCUCCAGGUUAUGCUUUUGUGGAGUUUGAGGAGGCCCGUGAUGCAGAGGAUGCUAUCCGUGGUCGUGAUGGUUAUGAUUUUGAUGGACAUCGUUUGCGGGUGGAACUGGCGCAUGGGGGGCGUGGUCAUUCAUCAUCAACUGAUCGUUAUAGUAACCACAGCAGUGGCCGAGGGCCCCGUGGUGGAGUUUCCAGGCGAUCUGACUACAGAGUGCUAGUCACUGGAUUGCCGCCUUCUGCUUCCUGGCAGGAUCUUAAGGAUCACAUGCGUCGAGCUGGGGAUGUCUGUUUCUCCCAAGUUUUCCGGGAAGGGAGUGGCACUACAGGAAUUGUGGAUUAUACAAAUUAUGAUGAUAUGAAAUAUUCUAUCAGGAAGCUUGAUGAGUCUGAAUUCCGGAAUUCCUUUUCUCGUGCAACAAUACGUGUGAAGGAAUAUGAUUCUAGCCGCUCUAGGAGCCGCAGCCGUUCUUACUCGAGAGGAAAGAGUGGUAGCCGCAGCCCGAGUAACAGUCGGAGUAGGAGCAUGAGCAAGUCUCCUAAAGCUAAAUCUUCUGGCCGUUCAAGAUCCCGCUCGAGGUCUGCAUCUUCACGGUCUCCCUCUAAGUCUAGAGCAAAAUCUCUUUCAAGAUAUGGAUAUAUGCAGCGAUCUGGGGAUUGCAUAAUAUGAUCUUGAUGGGAUAUGGUUCAGUUGCCUACAACUCUUUUGGUUGUGGAGAUAUGGGAACAAGAAGAUCAUGGAUUUUGAUGGUGAAGCGGGACUAUGAACUAAUUGGCAUAUGAAUUUUGGGACCGCCAUCUAUGUGUGGUAGAAACGUUUUAACUGUCUCCAAAGCUUCCGUGCUAAUUAAAGCAUACUCUCUGACUUCCAUAGUAUGAUUCUGGUUAUUCGUGUUUUUAAGGAGCUUUGUUGGCUUUUUGAAGGUUCUUAUCCUAACUUAAUUGGGCCAUUUAUUUAGGCUGAAUAUGAUGCUUUUCCCUUGUGUACUGCUAAAUGUUUGUGAAUAUCCUCUUUUCUAUUUUGAUUGUGGUAAACUCUGACGUGGAAUGGCAUACAAGGCUCUUGGAUCAGAGUUGUUAAGAGGAACAUGUGGAUAUUAAAUUGGGUUGUUUCUGGAACUUUUGCAGAUCUCCAUCAAGAUCCAGAUCCCCCUCACCAUCUCGCCAGAAACGUGCUAACAAAAGCCCAAAAAGGCGCAGCCCGAGUAAGAGUGAAAGCAGGAGUAGGAGCCGUACUCGUAGUAGGAGCAAAACUCCAUCAAGGUGAGCUAUGGUAUUCGCUGGUUUUUGCUGCGCCCUAGAUCUGCAGAUAAGGUGCUCUCUGCUGGAUUAGAUGCGUAUUAGGAUCUGCAGUUGGUUGUCAGUCGUGGUUAACAGAGUUAUUGAUGUAUGAGGAACCAUUUUAUUUUGUGUUUUCUUGUAUGGGCAUGUUGCGGGACAUUUGAUCGCGAGAAUGGUGGAAUGUUGAAUUUGGCAUUUUGUCCAGAUGUAAUCAUGAAUUAAUAUUUCGUGGAGGGCCUGCUGAUGGCUUGGUCCUCGAUUAACUAUAACAUUUCCUUGUGGCGCUACA
Molecule: non-coding RNA, 1861 nt
Organism: Coffea arabica (coffee)
Lineage: Eukaryota; Viridiplantae; Streptophyta; Magnoliopsida; Gentianales; Rubiaceae
Source: RefSeq, a predicted model, not a curated record